UCCUGCACAUUGCUGGCCACAGAACCUCAACCACUCCUGAAACAGACCCCUAGCCUCUGGCUGAGUUACUGAAGUCCUCAAAUCAUGGUUUAAUGACUUCAUGUUACAGAAAAUCCACUACUUGCACUAAUAUAAAAC
This is a long non-coding RNA of Gopherus evgoodei (Goodes thornscrub tortoise), 138 nucleotides long. RefSeq lists it as uncharacterized. The record is from RefSeq and is a predicted model, not a curated record. The transcript has 3 exons. NCBI's taxonomy places the organism in Eukaryota, Metazoa, Chordata, Testudines, Testudinidae.